RNAcentral lists this ribosomal RNA (468 nucleotides) under uncultured bacterium. RNAcentral describes it as "partial 16S ribosomal RNA". It matches the Rfam family "Bacterial small subunit ribosomal RNA", at positions 28 to 507 of the family's 1533-position model. The record is from RNAcentral.
GACGAACGCUGGCGGCGUGCUUAACACAUGCAAGUCGAACGGAAAGGCCCUGCUUUUGUGCGCUUCUCGAUUGGCGAACGCGUGAGUAACACGUGAGUAACCUGCCCUUGACUUUGGGAUAACUUCACGUAACUGGGGCUAAUACCGGAUAGCAUCUCCUGCUCCAUGGUGGGGGUUGGAAAGUUGCGGCGGGUGGGGCUGGACUCGCGGCUUAUCAGCUUGUUGGUGGGGUAGUGGCUUACCAAGUCUUUGGCGGGUAGCCGGCAUGAGAGGGUGAACGGGGACAAUGGGCCUGCGAGAGGGACCAGACGGGUACGGGAGGCAACGGUGGGGAGCAUUACACAGGAGGCGGACGCGUGAUAAAGCAACGCCGGGUGCGGGAAGACGGCCUUCUGGUUGAAAAAAGCUUUCGCCUGAGACGAAGCGUGAGUGACGGUACUGAAUAAAGAAGCACCGGCUAACUACGUG